UAAGUUUAUAAUUUGGCUUUUUUGCUUGGAUUUGUUACAUCUAUGUCAAUGAUAUGACAUUUAUAAUAUUGAGUGUUAUAUAAAAUAAUUUAGUAUAAAAGCUUUUUAUUGCGUACAUUUAAAAUUAAUUCAACAAACAUAUAUCAAUAUACAUUAUUAAAAUGAAAUAUAAAAUAACUGCCAUUAUUGGUUUCCGACGACGAAAGGAGAUAUUCGAUGUAGAUUACGCCCAAUUAGGAUAAUUUCGGGAUGGAUAUCCUUUUCUAAAAAUGCUCGAGGCUUCUCCGACAGCGGCAUAAUUUCGAAUACUUCGCGAACACCCUGAAAGAUGUACCAAGAGCCAUCGUCUUUAUUAAAAAUUCCUUUACUUCGAUAAAUCAUAAACUCCUCGUCUUCCCCUUCCUCCAAACAAGACCAAAGUGUAUGACGAACCCAUUGUAGAAAUUGCUGAAAAACCUCUUUCGACAUUAGUGGGGGCAGUUUAAAAGUAUGAGUUGAGAUAUCAAGGCUAUGCGUAUCGAGAGAAUGCAAAUGUUGGCAAUCCACGUCCAAACAAGUAGAACAAUUAAUAUUGCUAUCAUUGCUCCUUUGAAUCGACCACUCAAGAUUAGAAGUAUUUUCGUUGCCGUAUGCAUCCAAGUCCAAAAUUUCAGAAAUGUCAUCCAACCGUCCAUAUGUUGUUUCAAUAAUCUUCGCUAAGCAAUUGAUCUUCAAUAUAGUUUGACGUACCACAGAUAAUGCUUCAGAAGAAAUAAGAUCUGUUUUGUUUAAGAUCAAACAAUCAGCAUGUGAAAUUUGAAUAAAACCAAUAUCACUUUCAUCCUUUAAGAUAUUAUCUAUAUUUUUACAAUCAAUAACAGUAACGAUGCCAUCUAACUUGACAUCGCUUUUCAACGCGUCGUCCAACCAAAAUGUUUGAGCAAGAGGACCAGGAUUGGCUAUACCCGUUGUUUCAAUUACAAUGUUAUCAAAUCUCCCCUUUUGCCUCAUAAUUUUUUCCAAAGCUUUAAUCCCAUUGUCUUUCACAGUGCAACACAUGCACCCAUUUGAAAGAGCCACCCACUCUUCAUAAAGUUCUUCUCCUCCAACAUCCUCCAUUAAGCUCCUUUCAAGGUCUCCCGAAUCACCCACCUCAUUCAUUAAUACAGCAACCCUUUUACCAUUUCGAUUUUCAAGAAUUGACCGUAGCAAAGAAGUUUUACCGGCACCCAAAAAGCCCGUCAGUAUUGUGACAGGGACUGGGUCCAAGGUAGAGUCAUGAUCAACUAGAAGAAAAUCUGAUUGCUGCUCAAAUGAAUCAAUAUCAUUAUUGGACGAAACCGUAGGUACGCUUAAUGUUUCCGAAUGCGGUUGUGUGUUAACCUCUUCAACGUCAACCAGCUGUGGAAUUUCCGACUCGUUUUCAAUUUCAAAGUCCAUUCUUACACCUUUUUUAAAUAAUGGUCAUAUAAUUAAUCUUUUCGAGUUGAAUACUUUGAGAAAUACUUCUAAAAGCCUCAAUUUAGGUCUCACAGGUAAAUACUUUCGAAAAGUGUUAAUAAUGAAUUUUUUUAGUAUGAAAUUAGCACAACACUGUGUUUGCACUAUAUGCAGUCAUUUCGUAUAACACUGACAUGGUUUUAUAGCGAAAAUUGUCAGCAGCUACGAAUGAAUAGUGUGAUAAAUUACUUAUACAACGAAUUUUACAUGAAAUGACUUUAUAGCAAAAGCAAGACAUCAGAGCAAAAUAAUAAUAAACAUAGCAAG
This is a non-coding RNA of Schizosaccharomyces pombe (fission yeast), 1746 nucleotides long. NCBI's taxonomy places the organism in Eukaryota, Fungi, Ascomycota, Schizosaccharomycetes, Schizosaccharomycetales, Schizosaccharomycetaceae. The record is from the annotation of a GenBank genome assembly.